Camelus dromedarius (Arabian camel) is the source of this 1952-nucleotide long non-coding RNA. RefSeq lists it as uncharacterized. The record is from RefSeq and is a predicted model, not a curated record. Lineage: Eukaryota; Metazoa; Chordata; Mammalia; Artiodactyla; Camelidae. The transcript has 4 exons.
CAAGAAAAUGAGCGCUUUUAUCAUCUCUGCCAUCUCUUCUCUUUUAGACGUCAGGAAUCUUGGACUCGUUCUUGGAGCAGAUAAUCGAGUAACUUUCUCAAGGGCACGUUGACUCUCCGUAUGUUUCUUCCAGUAUCACCGAUUUUCAGUAGUUCUCAUGAAUGUCUUUCGAGCCUGGUAUGCUCUAGAGAUGUGUCCAUGCAGAUAUUCUCCACUGUAGCAGAACAACUUUCAUCAAUGUAUUCGCACAUCUCCUCAAUCCAUGCAGCCAGUGUUUCUGCCAGCUUCUCUUCGUGUCUCCCAUAAAGUCGACGUCAACAGGACUGGGCAAGUCUGAAAAUACCUCAGAGCCUCACCAUUAAGCUGAUGACAGGCAGAUCUUCCAGUGUCUGGCCUUUCAGAUUCUGGGAACUGACCUGUGAACUCAGGUUUCUGGGCAGCAGCAGUAUCUCGAACUUAAACAGCUUCCCGUACAAAAGACCUAAGCCAAUCUCCACAUAGAGCAGCAGACACACCAUCAAACUGAUCCACCCACAGAAUUCUGCACAUUUACCUUGGAUACACCAGCCGCAAUACGCCUCGUGAUACACACCAACAUUCCACCUGGAAUCCAACCGACGUCAGGAAUAUUGGACCCGUUCUUGGAGCAGAUAAUCGAGUAACUUUCUCAAGGGCACGUUGACUCUCCGUAUGUUUCUUCCAGUAUCACCGAGGUUCAGUAGGUCUCAUGAAUGUCUUUCGAGCCUGGUAUGCUCUAGAGAUGUCUCCAAGCCGAUAAUCUCCACUGUAGCAGAACAACUUUCAUCAAUGUGUUCGCACAUCUCCUCAAUCCAUGCAGCCAGUGUUUCUGCCAGCUUCUCUUCGUGUCUCCCAUAAAGUCGACGUCAACAGGACUGGGCAAGUCUGAAAAUACUUCGGAGCCUCACCAGUAAGCUAAUGAGUGGCAGAUCUUCCACUGUCUGCCCUUUCAGAUUCUGGGAACUGACCUGUGAACUCAGGUCUCAGGGCAGCAGCAGUAUCUCGAACUUACUCAGCUUCCCGAACAAAAGACCUAAGCCAAUCUCCACAUAGGGUAGCAGACCCAAUAUUAAACUGAUCCACCCACAGAAUACUGCCCAGUUACCUUGGAUCCACCAGCUGCAACACGCCUCGUGGUACACACCAAAAUUCCACCUGGAAUCCAACCGACGUCAGGAAUAUUGGACCCGUUCUUGGAGCAGAUAAUCGAGUAACUUUCUCAAGGGCACGUUGACUCUCCGUAUGUUUCUUCCAGUAUCACCGAGGUUCAGUAGGUCUCAUGAAUGUCUUUCGAGCCUGGUAUGCUCUAGAGAUGUCUCCAAGCCGAUAAUCUCCACUGUAGCAGAACAACUUUCAUCAAUGUGUUCGCACAUCUCCUCAAUCCAUGCAGCCAGUGUUUCUGCCAGCUUCUCUUCGUGUCUCCCAUAAAGUCGACGUCAACAGGACUGGGCAAGUCUGAAAAUACUUCGGAGCCUCACCAGUAAGCUAAUGAGUGGCAGAUCUUCCACUGUCUGCCCUUUCAGAUUCUGGGAACUGACCUGUGAACUCAGGUCUCAGGGCAGCAGCAGUAUCUCGAACUUACUCAGCUUCCCGAACAAAAGACCUAAGCCAAUCUCCACAUAGGGUAGCAGACCCAAUAUUAAACUGAUCCACCCACAGAAUACUGCCCAGUUACCUUGGAUCCACCAGCUGCAACACGCCUCGUGGUACACACCAAAAUUCCACCUGGAAUCCAACCGCCAAGCAUCUGCUGUGCACUCUGCUAAUACUCAGCACAUCACCUUCAAUCCCAAGCCUGCUGCCAGCUUGAGAGUGUGCUUCCAAAUAAAACAGAGUUUCACCAUUGAUGCUCCAUUACCAGAGGUCAGAUCCUGCACUGGUUUCCAUUCUCUACUUUGCCUUUUCCUGCUUCCGGUUUUUCUGAGGCCUCAUCC